AGGAUGAACGCUGGCGGCGUGCUUAACACAUGCAAGUCGAACGAUGAAGGCUGGAGCUUGCUCUGGCUGGAUUAGUGGCGAACGGGUGAGUAACACGUGAGUAACCUGCCCCAGACUCUGGGAUAAGCGCUGGAAACGGCGUCUAAUACCGGAUACGAGCUUCCACCGCAUGGUGAGGAGCUGGAAAGAAUUUCGGUCUGGGAUGGGCUCGCGGCCUAUCAGCUUGUUGGUGAGGUAAUGGCUCACCAAGGCGACGACGGGUAGCCGGCCUGAGAGGGUGACCGGCCACACUGGGACUGAGACACGGCCCAGACUCCUACGGGAGGCAGCAGUGGGGAAUAUUGCACAAUGGGCGAAAGCCUGAUGCAGCGACGCCGCGUGAGGAUGAAGGCCUUGGUUGUAAACCUCUUCAGCGAGGACGAAGCGCAAGUGACGGUACCUGCAGAAGAAGCACGGCUAACUACGUGCCAGCA
RNAcentral lists this ribosomal RNA (473 nucleotides) under uncultured soil bacterium. RNAcentral's name for it is "bacterial SSU rRNA". It matches the Rfam family "Bacterial small subunit ribosomal RNA", at positions 26 to 513 of the family's 1533-position model. The record is from RNAcentral.